GCUCAAAUUUGAAAUCUGGCUUCGGCCCGAGUUGUAAUUUGUAGAGGAUGCUUUUGGUGAGGUGCCUUCUGAGUUCCCUGGAACGGGACGCCAGAGAGGGUGAGAGCCCCGUAUAGUUGGACACCGAGCCUCUGUAAAGCUCCUUCGACGAGUCGAGUAGUUUGGGAAUGCUGCUCAAAAUGGGAGGUAUAUCUCUUCUAAAGCUAAAUACUGGCCAGAGACCGAUAGCGCACAAGUAGAGUGAUCGAAAGAUGAAAAGCACUUUGAAAAGAGGGUUAAAUAGUACGUGAAAUUGUUGAAAGGGAAGCGCUUGUGACCAGACUUGUGCCGGGCUGAUCAUCCAGUGUUCUCACUGGUGCACUCUGCCCGGCUCAGGCCAGCGUCGGUUCUCGCGGGGGGAUAAAGGCGGCGGGAACGUGGCUCCUCCGGGAGUGUUAUAGCCCGCCGCUCAAUACC
Molecule: ribosomal RNA, 456 nt
Filed under: Coniochaeta ornata
Lineage: Eukaryota; Fungi; Ascomycota; Sordariomycetes; Coniochaetales; Coniochaetaceae
Description: eukaryotic LSU rRNA
Rfam family: Eukaryotic large subunit ribosomal RNA
Source: RNAcentral